CUGUUUAUCAAAAACAUGUCUUCUUGGUAAAAAUUUGAAGUCUGACCUGCCCACUGAUUGAUUUAUUGAAGGGCCGCGGUAUUUUGACCGUGCAAAGGUAGCAUAAUCAUUAGUCUUUUUAUUGAAGGCUUGUAUGAAUGGUUGGACGAGGUAUUGACUGUCUCUGUGUGAAUGAUUAUUAGAAUUUAACAUUUAAGUUAAAAGGCUUAAAUGUGCUUAAAGGACGAGAAGACCCUAUAGAGCUUUAUAUUAGUGUUGGUAUCAUGUAUGUAGUAGUUAUUGAAUGAAAUUAAUCUUAGUAUUUUGUUGGGGUGACAGGAAGAUAAAAAAAACUCUUUUUAAAAUAAAACAUUGAUGUAUGAAUAUUUGAUCCGUUAUUAAUGAUUAUAAGACUAAGUUACCUUAGGGAUAACAGCGUAAUCUUUUUCGAGAGUUCUUAUCGACAAAAAGGGUUGCGACCUCGAUGUUGGAUUAAGAGUAAUUUUGGGUGUAGAUGUUCAAAGUUUAGGUCUGUUCNACCUUUAAAUUCUUACAUGAUCUGAGUUCAAACCGGAGA
Molecule: ribosomal RNA, 556 nt
Filed under: Despaxia augusta
Lineage: Eukaryota; Metazoa; Arthropoda; Insecta; Plecoptera; Leuctridae
Description: partial 16S ribosomal RNA
Rfam family: Archaeal large subunit ribosomal RNA
Source: RNAcentral